UACGGGAGGCAGCAGUGGGGAAUAUUGGACAAUGGGCGAAAGCCUGAUCCAGCCAUGCCGCGUGUGUGAAGAAGGUCUUCGGAUUGUAAAGCACUUUAAGUUGGGAGGAAGGGCAGUAAAUUAAUACUUUGCUGUUUUUGACGUUACCGACAGAAUAAGCACCGGCUAACUCUGUGCCAGCAGCCGCGGUAAUACAGAGGGUGCAAGCGUUAAUCGGAAUUACUGGGCGUAAAGCGCGCGUAGGUGGUUCGUUAAGUUGGAUGUGAAAUCCCCGGGCUCAACCUGGGAACUGCAUUCAAAACUGACGAGCUAGAGUAUGGUAGAGGGUGGUGGAAUUUUCCUGUGUAGCGGUGAAAUGCGUAGAUAUAGGAAGGAACACCAGUGGCGAAGGCGACCACCUGGACUGAUACUGACACUGAGGUGCGAAAGCGUGGGGAGCAAACAGGAUUAGAUACC
RNAcentral lists this ribosomal RNA (456 nucleotides) under uncultured bacterium. RNAcentral describes it as "bacterial SSU rRNA". It matches the Rfam family "Bacterial small subunit ribosomal RNA", at positions 340 to 786 of the family's 1533-position model. The record is from RNAcentral.